GAGUAACAUGUCCUUUGUGAAAAGGUUUUGAAAUGCCCUAAGGCGAAAACUUGAAUUUGAUGAGUUGAGAUUGAUUUUAGAUUGGAAAAAGAUUGUCUUGAUUUGAAUUGCACUAAAGUCUAUGAUAAAAGGCGAAUACUUUGAGCAACUAGGAUCUACUCCCCGUACUCAAAGGUACUCUAGACAAGGAUAUGAAUAAUUCAUCUCAUCAUUCUCCAUUGCUUAAGACUCG
RNAcentral lists this long non-coding RNA (232 nucleotides) under Lathyrus oleraceus (garden pea). RNAcentral's name for it is "Pisum sativum (pea) long non-coding RNA (PSAT_LNC010215)". Lineage: Eukaryota; Viridiplantae; Streptophyta; Magnoliopsida; Fabales; Fabaceae. The record is from RNAcentral.